This 936-nucleotide long non-coding RNA is filed under the name Carica papaya (papaya). RNAcentral describes it as "long non-coding RNA (CPAP_LNC007493)". The record is from RNAcentral. Lineage: Eukaryota; Viridiplantae; Streptophyta; Magnoliopsida; Brassicales; Caricaceae.
UGUCCGAAAUUCAGGGUUAUUUACACAAGUGGAGCAAACAACAGUAAAUGUAGUUGAUGUGGAAGGGCACUAGUAGUUUCAUAGUUAAGCUAGAGCUAUUAACACCAAUCUUAAGCGAGAAAAACAAAAAACAAAAAAUUACGAGAGAGAAGAAGAAAAGAGCAAAGAUAUCUACUUUUAUUUUCAUGGAGGAGAUUGUAAAUCAGAUGCACAACUCACUAUAAUUUAAGUUCAUAGAAAAGGCUAUCAUGCACAGACACUCUUUAAUCAUUUUCUUUGAGCAAUCCAUGAACGAAAAUGUAGCAGUCUUAAUGCAUGGGGGAAGUUGUAAAAGAGAUGUACAAUACUUCCUAUUUUACUUGAAUCGGGUGAUUUACAAAUGAGAAGCAUUACGAAUGAGUGGGCAUAUGAAUGAAAUGCAUAAUAAAUAGUCAACACAAAAUGGGCUGUAAAAGAAUAUGCACAAUAUUUGGCAUUUAGGAAACACGUUGUGAGGGAAAUGAACGAUUGUGUUAAGCGAUUCGUAAAGGAGAUGCAUGAACCAUUUCAAGAGAGUAAUUUACAAAGGAGAUGCAUAAUACUUUGAGUUUGUUAUUGAGCGAGUUGUUAAGGAAUUCCGCAAUAUUCUUUGAAUUACAGUAAUAACGACGUAAAAAACGUGACACCUUACAUAAAAUGAGCUGUGAAGGAUAUGCACAUAAUUCAAAAUGCAUGAGUGGGUUUUGAGUGAGAUUCACACUAAAAAUUUAAUACAAAAUGAGCUAUGAAAGACACACACAAUAUUCAAAUGCACGAGCAUGCUAUGGGUGAGAUAUAUAACAAAAACAACAUAAUUUUAAUUUUUAAAGUAGAUUGUGAAUGAAAUGCAGAGUAAAAAAACUCAAAUCGAUCUUAAUUUCAUGAGUAGACAUUGAGAUAUGUGCACGGUAAAAACUC